GCGGCCGUAGUCUAGUCUGGAUCAGGACGACGGCCCCCCACGCCGUAGAUCGUGGGUUCAAAUCCCACCGGCCGCA
Molecule: transfer RNA, 76 nt
Filed under: Thermocladium sp. ECH_B
Lineage: Archaea; Thermoproteati; Thermoproteota; Thermoprotei; Thermoproteales; Thermoproteaceae
Also listed under: 1 other name
Description: tRNA-Gly
Rfam family: tRNA
About the family: Transfer RNA (tRNA) molecules are approximately 80 nucleotides in length. Their secondary structure includes four short double-helical elements and three loops (D, anti-codon, and T loops).
Source: RNAcentral